This 473-nucleotide ribosomal RNA is filed under the name uncultured bacterium. Its description in RNAcentral is "bacterial SSU rRNA". It matches the Rfam family "Bacterial small subunit ribosomal RNA", at positions 910 to 1382 of the family's 1533-position model. The record is from RNAcentral.
UUGACGGGGGCCCGCACAAGCGGCGGAGCAUGUGGUUUAAUUCGAAGCAACGCGAAGAACCUUACCAGGCCUUGACAUGCAGAGAACUUUCCAGAGAUGGAUUGGUGCCUUCGGGAACUCUGACACAGGUGCUGCAUGGCUGUCGUCAGCUCGUGCCGUGAGGUGUCGGGUUAAGUCCCAUAACGAGCGCAACCCCUAUCAUUAGUUGCCAUCAGGUCAAGCUGGGGACUCUAAUGAAACUGCCUACGCAAGUAGUGAGGAAGGUGGGGAUGACGUCAAAUCGGCACGGCCCUUACGUCCAGGGCUACACACGUGCUACAAUGGCCGGUACAGAGCGCAGCGAAGCCGCGAGGUGGAGCGAAUCGCAAAAAGCCGGUCUCAGUACGGAUUGGAGUCUGAAACCCGACUCCAUGAAGUUGGAAUCGCUAGUAAUCGCGCAUCAGCAUGGCGCGGUGAAUCCGUUCCCGGGCCUU